This 209-nucleotide unclassified non-coding RNA is filed under the name Hevea brasiliensis (rubber tree). Lineage: Eukaryota; Viridiplantae; Streptophyta; Magnoliopsida; Malpighiales; Euphorbiaceae. The record is from RNAcentral.
AAAAUGCAAAACAAACAAACAUAUCAAGGCUCAUUUCAACUAUGCUUUUUCAUGGAAAAAUUUUCUUAUCAACCCCAACAUUGAAAACACACAUGCACAAUGAACCACAACAACCAUCAUAGGUAUUUCCAAUCACUGAAGGGAUCAAUUUGGUUCCCAUUCUUUAAGGUAGACACUAGACAAGGUAAGUUCAGUAUAAAGAGCUCUCC